AUUGCUGAGUCAACAGUGGUUUCGUUGUUCCACUGGCUGAUGGCUUAACAUUUGAUUGUCUGUAGUAUUUUUGUGAAGCAGGUAGUUUGAGCAAAAGACCUAAGGCUUUAAAGACCAGAGUUUAUCUAAUAGUGGUGUUUUCAUCACAUAUUAUUUUCUGAGUUUAUAUAAGUAUUCUAAAAUCCUUUUGCUGAGAGUCAUAAUGUUUAGACCUAGAACACACUUAGCAGUGAGCGUGCACCGUAUUUUACACCGGGAAGUCUGCGGCCUGGACACAUGAACUAACUUGCCCAAGAGCACACAACUGUAGUUUAAAUACCGCCAUU
Molecule: long non-coding RNA, 326 nt
Filed under: Mus musculus (house mouse)
Lineage: Eukaryota; Metazoa; Chordata; Mammalia; Rodentia; Muridae
Description: ilncRNA-EC14
Source: RNAcentral